UGGGUAGCAAACAGGAUUAGAUACCUUGGUAGUCCACGCUGUAAACGAUGUCGAUUUGGAGGUUGUGCCCUUGAGGCGUGGCUUCCGGAGCUAACGCGUUAAAUCGACCGCCUGGGGAGUACGGCCGCAAGGUUAAAACUCAAAUGAAUUGACGGGGGCCCGCACAAGCGGUGGAGCAUGUGGUUUAAUUCGAUGCAACGCGAAGAACCUUACCUACUCUUGACAUCCAGAGAACUUUCCAGAGAUGGAUUGGUGCCUUCGGGAACUCUGAGACAGGUGCUGCAUGGCUGUCGUCAGCUCGUGUUGUGAAAUGUUGGGUUAAGUCCCGCAACGAGCGCAACCCUUAUCCUUUGUUGCCAGCGGUUCGGCCGGGAACUCAAAGGAGACUGCCAGUGAUAAACUGGAGGAAGGUGGGGAUGACGUCAAGUCAUCAUGGCCCUUACGAGUAGGGCUACACACGUGCUACAAUGGCGUAUACAAAGAGAAGCGACCUCGCGAGAGCAAGCGGACCUCAUAAAGUACGUCGUAGUCCGGAUUGGAGUCUGCAACUCGACUCCAUGAAGUCGGAAUCGCUAGUAAUCGUAGAUCAGAAUGCUACGGUGAAUACGUUCCCGGGCCUUGUACACACCGCCCGUCACACCAUGGGAGUGGGUUGCAAAAGAAGUAGGUAGCUUAACCUUCGGGAGGGCGCUUACCACUU
Molecule: ribosomal RNA, 700 nt
Filed under: Serratia marcescens
Lineage: Bacteria; Pseudomonadati; Pseudomonadota; Gammaproteobacteria; Enterobacterales; Yersiniaceae
Description: bacterial SSU rRNA
Rfam family: Bacterial small subunit ribosomal RNA
Source: RNAcentral